GUUUACAAGCAAUGGUGGAAGAAAUUUUGCACAAUGUCCAUUGCAUGUUACGUAUUGCUCCUCUGUUUACAUUUUGUUCAUUCAAAAGCUGGACUCGGGGCAGGAGUCUGAGGUCGUGAUCCUUUGAGAUGCUGUCCGAAUUAUCGACAGUUGGAUACAUUCUGCGGCCCUUGUGAUAUAGGUACCUAUGGACACAAAUGCUCUGGAGGACGGUGUGUUUAUGGAUCGUAUGGAUUUGGAUGUUCAAAGAAGUGUAACUGUUCACGUGAUCAGUUUUGCGACGGAAGUAUGGGAAGCUCAUAUAAUAUCAGCGGUAAAUAUUUACCAUAAAAUGCUGAAAUGAAAAAAGAAGUUUAACAACACAUGUUCAUGCUAGAUUGCUGCAUUUUGAUAAUGUCAUUAUCAAAAAACAAUUCUUCAAGAGGGAAGGGAGAUACUUUCGUUCAUGUGAAUGAUGUUAUUGCAGAUGAUUCAAUAUCUUUUUUACGUUCCAUUUACAACUUUAUGAAAGUGAUGUUUUGAGGUUUGAAUA
Ostrea edulis (European flat oyster) is the source of this 532-nucleotide long non-coding RNA. RefSeq lists it as uncharacterized. The record is from RefSeq and is a predicted model, not a curated record. The transcript has 3 exons. Lineage: Eukaryota; Metazoa; Mollusca; Bivalvia; Ostreida; Ostreidae.